Molecule: ribosomal RNA, 465 nt
Filed under: Vreelandella stevensii
Lineage: Bacteria; Pseudomonadati; Pseudomonadota; Gammaproteobacteria; Oceanospirillales; Halomonadaceae
Description: partial 16S ribosomal RNA
Rfam family: Bacterial small subunit ribosomal RNA
Source: RNAcentral
CCUACGGGGGGCAGCAGUGGGGAAUAUUGGACAAUGGGCGAAAGCCUGAUCCAGCCAUGCCGCGUGUGUGAAGAAGGCCUUCGGGUUGUAAAGCACUUUCAGUGGGGAAGAAAGCCUUGGGGCUAAUACCCUCGAGGAAGGACAUCACCCACAGAAGAAGCACCGGCUAACUCCGUGCCAGCAGCCGCGGUAAUACGGAGGGUGCGAGCGUUAAUCGGAAUUACUGGGCGUAAAGCGCGCGUAGGCGGUCUGAUAAGCCGGUUGUGAAAGCCCCGGGCUCAACCUGGGAACGGCAUCCGGAACUGUCAGGCUAGAGUGCGGGAGAGGAAGGUAGAAUUCCCGGUGUAGCGGUGAAAUGCGUAGAGAUCGGGAGGAAUACCAGUGGCGAAGGCGGCCUUCUGGACUGACACUGACGCUGAGGUGCGAAAGCGUGGGUAGCAAACAGGAUUAGAUACCCCGGUAGUC